This 497-nucleotide ribosomal RNA is filed under the name uncultured bacterium. RNAcentral's name for it is "partial 16S ribosomal RNA". It matches the Rfam family "Bacterial small subunit ribosomal RNA", at positions 28 to 507 of the family's 1533-position model. The record is from RNAcentral.
GAUGAACGCUGGCGGCGUGCCUAAUACAUGCAAGUCGAGCGAACGGACGAGAAGCUUGCUUCUCUGAUGUUAGCGGCGGACGGGUGAGUAACACGUGUAUAACCUACCUAUAAGACUGGUAUAACUUCGGGAAACCGGAGCUAAUACCGUAUGAUAUUUUGAACCGCAUGGUUCAAAAGUGAAAGACGGUCUUUCUGGCACUUAUAGAUGGAUCCGCGCUGCAUUAGCUAGUUGGUAAGGUAACGGCUUACCAAGGCAACGAUGCAUAGCCGACCUGAGAGGGUGAUCGGCCACACUGGAACUGAGACACGGUCCAGACUCCUACGGGAGGCAGCAGUAGGGAAUCUUCCGCAAUGGGCGAAAGCCUGACGGAGCAACGCCGCGUGAGUGAUGAAGGUCUUCGGAUCGUAAAACUCUGUUAUUAGGGAAGAACAUAUGUGUAAGUAACUGUGCACAUCUUGACGGUAACUAAUCAGAAAGCCACGGCUAACUACGUG